Molecule: ribosomal RNA, 307 nt
Filed under: uncultured eukaryote
Lineage: Eukaryota
Description: partial 18S ribosomal RNA
Rfam family: Eukaryotic small subunit ribosomal RNA
Source: RNAcentral
CCCUUAGACGUUCUGGGCCGCACGCGCGCUACACUGACACAGGCAACGAGCUUUCCUUUACCGAAAGGUAUGGGUAAUCUUUUGAAACUGUGUCGUGCUGGGGAUAGAUCCUUGCAAUUUUUGAUCUUAAACGAGGAAUUCCUAGUAAGCGCGAGUCAUCAACUCGCGUUGAUUACGUCCCUGCCCUUUGUACACACCGCCUGUCGCUACUACCGAUUGAAUGGCUUAGUGAGGCCUCAGGAUCCGCGCUUAAUGUGUGGAGAAUUUGGACAAACUACGUCAUUUAGAGGAAGUAAAAGUCGUAACA